This 809-nucleotide long non-coding RNA is filed under the name Ursus maritimus (polar bear). RNAcentral describes it as "lncRNA (ENSUMAG00000016420.1)". Lineage: Eukaryota; Metazoa; Chordata; Mammalia; Carnivora; Ursidae. The record is from RNAcentral.
GCCGCCCGCUCACAGCCCCUCCUCCAUCCGCCCAGCAGUCCCUCCACCGGGAGAGCCCCCCAGCUGGAGUGGCCAAGGCUGCCUGUCUCUCCUCCCCUACCAGUGGGAGAUCAGACCCCUCCACACCCAGCGCCAAGGCAAGCCCCUCAUAGAGACCAACGCAGGGCGGAGACAAUGAGGGUUGGGGAAACCACCCACCCCAGAGCAGAACAAGCUGAUUCGGAUUCCAGGCUGGACCCCGGAUUCUCUGAGCCCCGGAGUCCAAGCGCCCAAGAACCAAGGUGGAACGCCUGGCGCAGGUAGGUGCCCACUGCCAGCUGCGAGCCUCUUUCCUGACGUCUGGCUUCCUUCCCUGCGGAAGCUGCCCACCGGAACACGGCUCACCCUUAGCCUGUUGUCUGACCAGCAAGUCCUGAGGACAGCAGCCUGUCGGGAGAAGCAAGACCUCAAAGGGGAACCACUUAGCUCGGUCCGCGGCGCCCCCUCGUGGUCAGACGGCGGAAUGACAAGCGUCUCCCAAGCCCUAUCAUAAUCACGGGACGAGGAUUAGCACCGUCUGGGUCCUCCGCACCCCCGAAACCGGCCCCCAGCUUCACCGGAGACCUGCUGAAUCAGACGCUCUCCGGUGGGCCCAGGAAUCUUCAUUUUUACAUUUACCUCUGGUGAUUCCGAUGCCUGCUGGAGCCUGCAAAUAGCUGCUUAAUAGCCCAAAUUGUAGAGCAAGGGAUUUCCACAUCAAGGACUAAAAUAAGGGGGUAUUUAGACAGGGUUUCUCCAGGAGGGGUUGUGGGAGAGAAACUGAGCCAGCC